GACGAACGCUGGCGGCGUGCCUAAUACAUGCAAGUCGUACGCAUCUUUUUCACCGGAGCUUGCUCCACCGAAAAAGAUGAGUGGCGAACGGGUGAGUAACACGUGGGUAACCUGCCCAUCAGAAGGGGAUAACACUUGGAAACAGGUGCUAAUACCGUAUAAUAGUUUGACCCGCAUGGGUUGAAUUUGAAAGGCGCUUUUGCGUCACUGAUGGAUGGACCCGGGGCGUAUUAGCUAGUUGGUGAGGUAAUGGCUCACCAAGGCAACGAUACGUAGCCGACCUGAGAGGGUGAUCGGCCACAUUGGGACUGAGACACAGCCCAAACUCCUACGGGAGGCAGCAGUAGGGAAGCUUCGGCAAUGGACGAAAGUCUGACCGAGCAACGCCGCGUGAGUGAAGAAGGUUUUCGGAUCGUAAAACUCUGUUGGUAAAGAAGAACAAGGGUGAGAGUAAAAAGUUCACUCCUUGACGGUAUUUACCCAGAAAGCCACGGCUAACUACGUGCCAGCCGCCGCCGUAA
Molecule: ribosomal RNA, 521 nt
Filed under: uncultured bacterium
Lineage: Bacteria
Description: partial 16S ribosomal RNA
Rfam family: Bacterial small subunit ribosomal RNA
Source: RNAcentral